Molecule: ribosomal RNA, 459 nt
Filed under: uncultured bacterium
Lineage: Bacteria
Description: bacterial SSU rRNA
Rfam family: Bacterial small subunit ribosomal RNA
Source: RNAcentral
UUGCCUCUUGGACUGGGACAACUGUUGGAAACGACAGCUAAUACCAGAUAUUAUGAGAUUCUCGCAUGAGAAACUUAUGAAAGCUAUAUGCGCCAAGAGAGAGCCUUGCGUUCCAUUAGCUAGUUGGUGGGGUAACGGCCCACCAAGGCGACGAUGGAUAGCCGGCCUGAGAGGGUGAACGGCCACAAGGGGACUGAGACACGGCCCUUACUCCUACGGGAGGCAGCAGUGGGGAAUAUUGGACAAUGGGCCACAAGCCUGAUCCAGCAAUUCUGUGUGCACGAUGAAGGUCUUCGGAUUGUAAAGUGCUUUCAGUUGGGAAGAAGAAAGUGACGGUACCAACAGAAGAAGCGACGGCUAAAUACGUGCCAGCAGCCGCGGUAAUACGUAUGUCGCAAGCGUUAUCCGGAUUUAUUGGGCGUAAAGCGCGUCUAGGCGGAAAAAUAAGUCUGAUGUUAA